Molecule: long non-coding RNA, 711 nt
Organism: Rhodamnia argentea
Lineage: Eukaryota; Viridiplantae; Streptophyta; Magnoliopsida; Myrtales; Myrtaceae
Exons: 3
Source: RefSeq, a predicted model, not a curated record
UGGUGCACUUCCCGUUCUUAUACUUUUGAUGACCUGCCUUGAUUCCAUGAAUUGCCAAUGUUUUCUUUUCUCCUUGAAAUGUUAUUUGUCGAACUUCUAUUGCAGCUUGCACUGUAUCAAAUCGAAAACUAAGUGUACUAACAGUAGGAGGUCUAAAAAUCAGUUCACUCAUUUGGCCUUACAGUGAUAGAGAACUUUUGGUGGCACCAACGCCUUGGACUAUGCCUGGUAGACCUAAAGAGAAAAGGAUAACAGAAGAAGGAGAAUUUGAAAAUGGAUUCGACGCGUCGAGACAAGGCACAAAAAUUACAAGCCAAUUUGUGCUUCAAGCAAGUGCACAACUCAAAAAUUGUCCAUUGAAACAAAAGAAAACGGAUGGAGAGAUAGUCGGACAAAGAGAAACCAACCAACUUGUCACCGAGAUGCAUCAUAAGGAUGCCACCACGCAAAGCUGCAAAAGGAAACAGUAUGAACAAGAAGCGAGAGAAACAGAAAGAGGAUGAAACUUCUCCCCCAAUUAAGUUGGUGAAUGAAGGACAUUGGAAGUGGUGGAUCAACAGGAUCUCCGAAAAAAGAGGUAAAUCGACCGGCAGUAGCAGUUUAAAGAGUUGGAAGUCUGAUAUGGUCUAGUACCUUUCGAUGGUAUGAUACUCUUCAAUUUAAGAUCAAGACAUGGGGUUUGCUGUAUAUAUUUUCUCCAAGUGUUUAAGA